This 253-nucleotide ribosomal RNA is filed under the name uncultured bacterium. RNAcentral describes it as "partial 16S ribosomal RNA". It matches the Rfam family "Bacterial small subunit ribosomal RNA", at positions 524 to 776 of the family's 1533-position model. The record is from RNAcentral.
UACAGAGACCCCGAGCAUUAUCCGGAUUUAUUGGGCGUAAAGGGUUCGUAGGCGGCUUUGUAAGUCAUUUGUUAAAUCCUCAGGCUCAACCUGGGGGCUGCAGGUGAUACUGUAAGGCUCGAGUGUGGGAGAGGCAUAUGGAAUGCCCGGUGUAGCGGUAAAAUGCGUUAAUAUCGGGUAGAACACCAAAGGCGAAAGCAAUAUGCUGGAACACAACUGACGCUCAUGAACGAAAGCGUGGGUAGCGAAAGGG